AUUGAACGCUGGCGGCAUGCCUUACACAUGCAAGUCGAACGGCAGCACGGGAGCAAUCCUGGUGGCGAGUGGCGAACGGGUGAGUAAUAUAUCGGAACGUGCCCAGUCGUGGGGAUAACGCAGCGAAAGCUGUGCUAAUACCGCAUACGAUCUAUGGAUGAAAGCGGGGGAUCGCAAGACCUCGCGCGAUUGGAGCGGCCGAUAUCAGAUUAGGUAGUUGGUGAGGUAAAGGCUCACCAAGCCGACGAUCUGUAGCUGGCCUGAGAGGACGACCAGCCACACUGGGACUGAGACACGGCCCAGACUCCUACGGGAGGCAGCAGUGGGGAAUUUUGGGACAAUGGGCGCAAGCCUGAUCCAGCAAUGCCGCGUGCAGGAUGAAGGCCUCGG
This 390-nucleotide ribosomal RNA is filed under the name uncultured bacterium. RNAcentral's name for it is "bacterial SSU rRNA". It matches the Rfam family "Bacterial small subunit ribosomal RNA", at positions 29 to 420 of the family's 1533-position model. The record is from RNAcentral.